AUUGAACGCUGGCGGCAGGCCUAACACAUGCAAGUCGAACGGUAGCACAGAGAGCUUGCUCUCGGGUGACGAGUGGCGGACGGGUGAGUAAUGUCUGGGAAACUGCCCGAUGGAGGGGGAUAACUACUGGAAACGGUAGCUAAUACCGCAUAACGUCGCAAGACCAAAGAGGGGGACCUUCGGGCCUCUUGCCAUCGGAUGUGCCCAGAUGGGAUUAGCUUGUGGGUGAGGUAACGGCUCACCUAGGCGACGAUCCCUAGCUGGUCUGAGAGGAUGACCAGCCACACUGGAACUGAGACACGGUCCAGACUCCUACGGGAGGCAGCAGUGGGGAAUAUUGCACAAUGGGCGCAAGCCUGAUGCAGCCAUGCCGCGUGUAUGAAGAAGGCCUUCGGGUUGUAAAGUACUUUCAGCGGGGAGGAAGGGAGUGAGGUUAAUAACCUCAUUCAUUGACGUUACCCGCAGAAGAAGCACCGGCUAACUCCGUGCCAGCAGCCGCGGUAAUACGGAGGGUGCGAGCGUUAAUCGGAAUUACUGGGCGUAAAGCGCACGCAGGCGGUCUGUCAAGUCGGAUGUGAAAUCCCCGGGCUCAACCUGGGAACUGCAUUCGAAACUGGCAGGCUGGAGUCUUGUAGAGGGGGGUAGAAUUCCAGGUGUAGCGGCGAAAUGCGUAGAGAUCUGGAGGAAUACCGGUGGCGAAGGCGGCCCCCUGGACAAAGACUGACGCUCAGGUGCGAAAGCGUGGGGAGCAAACAGGAUUAGAUACCCUGGUAGUCCACGCUGUAAACGAUGUCGACUUGGAGGUUGUUCCCUUGAGGAGUGGCUUCCGGAGCUAACGCGUUAAGUCGACCGCCUGGGGAGUACGGCCGCAAGGUUAAAACUCAAAUGAAUUGACGGGGGCCCGCACAAGCGGUGGAGCAUGUGGUUUAAUUCGAUGCAACGCGAAGAACCUUACCUACUCUUGACAUCCAGAGAACUUAGCAGAGAUGCUUUGGUGCCUUCGGGAACUCUGAGACAGGUGCUGCAUGGCUGUCGUCAGCUCGUGUUGUGAAAUGUUGGGUUAAGUCCCGCAACGAGCGCAACCCUUAUCCUUUGUUGCCAGCGAUUCGGUCGGGAACUCAAAGGAGACUGCCAGUGAUAAACUGGAGGAAGGUGGGGAUGACGUCAAGUCAUCAUGGCCCUUACGAGUAGGGCUACACACGUGCUACAAUGGCAUAUACAAAGAGAAGCGACCUCGCGAGAGCAAGCGGACCUCAUAAAGUAUGUCGUAGUCCGGAUUGGAGUCUGCAACUCGACUCCAUGAAGUCGGAAUCGCUAGUAAUCGUGGAUCAGAAUGCCACGGUGAAUACGUUCCCGGGCCU
This 1361-nucleotide ribosomal RNA is filed under the name uncultured bacterium. RNAcentral describes it as "bacterial SSU rRNA". It matches the Rfam family "Bacterial small subunit ribosomal RNA", at positions 28 to 1381 of the family's 1533-position model. The record is from RNAcentral.